Molecule: ribosomal RNA, 499 nt
Filed under: uncultured Chloroflexota bacterium
Lineage: Bacteria; Bacillati; Chloroflexota
Description: bacterial SSU rRNA
Rfam family: Bacterial small subunit ribosomal RNA
Source: RNAcentral
UAGGGAAUAUUGCUCAAUGGGCGAAAGCCUGAAGCAGCAACGCCGCGUGUGUGAUGAAGGCCUUCGGGCCGUAAAGCACUUUUCUGGGAGAUGAGAAAGGACAGUAUCCCAGGAAUAAGUCUCGGCUAACUACGUGCCAGCAGCCGCGGUAAAACGUAGGAGGCGAGCGUUAUCCGGAUUCACUGGGCUAAAGCGCGUGCAGGUGGCGCGGUAAGUUGGGCGUGAAAGCUCCCGGCUCAACUGGGAGAGGUCGUCCAAUACUACCGUGUUUGAGAGCAGAAGAGGAAGAUGGAAUUCCCGGUGUAGUGGUGAAAUGCGUAGAUAUCGGGAGGAACACCAGUGGCGAAGGCGAUCUUCUGGUCUGUUUCUGACACUCAGACGCGACAGCUAGGGUAGUAAACGGGAUUAGAGACCCCGGUAAUCCUAGCCGUAACGAUGUGAACUUGGCGUUGGUGGGUUAAACUCCGAUCAGUGCCGUAGCAACGCGAUAAGUUCACCG